CCGGACUGCAUCGUCGGCGGCGGCGGCGACCAGCGCAGCCCCCGUGGAGCGUAUAGGAGGGCGAGGAGGUGAGCACCAGCGCAGAUUCGUCGGAAGGGAGAUGAAGAGGGGUGAAGAGAUGUGAGGGAGGAGAUCUGUGGUGCUGCUGUGCAUCUGUGAGAACCAUAUCCGCAAGCUCCUCCUAGAUUGCAGCUACUACCACUCCAAGAACUCCAACCUAGACGGAGGAAGGAACAUCAUGGAGGCCGCUUGCCGCAUAAGAGGCUGGAGCGGCAAGUUUGGUGUGGCUGCUCCUCCAUGCAAAGGCUGAGAUCCAACACUGACCGUAGGCAAGCCCCAUGGAAUUCACCGCUUCUCUACGUGUUGCUGGAGGAUGGCUCACAGCAUGCGAAGCAUUUAGCUUAGGAAUUCAGGUUUGCUUAAAGGCGGCUCCCCACAUAAUGUCGACUUUGGCCUGCAGUCGAGAGAUGCACAGUGCAAAUUUUUAUUUGUUUUGCAGGUUCAUCCAUAAGGUUCAUGGAUAGCAUCUGAUGGAUAUUCUCAUAUUUCUAUAAAUGGAUAUCAUCGAUCCCAUCCAUAAGGCUUACUGGUUUCGGUUCAGAUAGAAGGGCAAUGAAGGUUGUUUUUUCUGGAGAAUUGAGUUAGGAUAUUCUGCACACGUACUAUCGAGUUCCGACCAAGGGUUGUAUUUUCUACUGGGGAUGAGUUGGUUCGGCCAGCCACUCCAAACUCUAAAUCAUGGUCAGGUGAUUGACGAGGUCACCAAGCCAAGAAGAGGCGCUGCGAUUCGCUACAGGAGGGCACGGUGGGGUAAGCUUUGGCGCUGCGGCCAUGGUGGCUGCAGUGGUCAAUGCCAAGGCGUCUCACCACAUCCUUGCACUAUGGUCAGAGGAAGAAGAUAAAGAAUGAUCUCGUGCGCCAUCGAGGAAGCUUGCUGGGCCUGAUGCGUCUCUGCCUUUCAGAAGUGGCCACCGUCAUCGACCCUCCUCUAACGCAUGGGUGCCCUCCUCGAAUAAUGCGGGAGGGCGGCCGGAGAGUGCAAGCGGAGGUGGGAGGCACUCGUGUUGUAGUAAGAGGUGGGUGCAGCGCUGGGAUGUACGCACUGCGGCAUCAACGGAGCACCACUCUGCAAGUGUUCUGUAGCUGCUAGCAUGCGAUGUCCGUCAUUCUACCUCUGUUUCAGGUGAGAU
Long non-coding RNA from Lolium rigidum, 1190 nucleotides. RefSeq lists it as uncharacterized. NCBI's taxonomy places the organism in Eukaryota, Viridiplantae, Streptophyta, Magnoliopsida, Poales, Poaceae. The record is from RefSeq and is a predicted model, not a curated record. The transcript has 10 exons.